GGGGUUCUGGUCUAAAUUUAGGACGUGCCGCUGUUAACGGCAAGGUGAAGUUUUAUUCGUGCCCUU
This 66-nucleotide transfer RNA is filed under the name Mimachlamys nobilis (noble scallop). RNAcentral describes it as "tRNA-Asn". Lineage: Eukaryota; Metazoa; Mollusca; Bivalvia; Pectinida; Pectinidae. The record is from RNAcentral.